This 468-nucleotide ribosomal RNA is filed under the name uncultured bacterium. RNAcentral's name for it is "partial 16S ribosomal RNA". It matches the Rfam family "Bacterial small subunit ribosomal RNA", at positions 28 to 507 of the family's 1533-position model. The record is from RNAcentral.
GACGAACGCUGGCGGCGUGCUUAACACAUGCAAGUCGAACGGAAAGGCCCUGCUUUUGUGGGGUGCUCGAGUGGCGAACGGGUGAGUAACACGUGAGUAACCUGCCCUUGACUUUGGGAUAACUUCAGGAAACUGGGGCUAAUACCGGAUAGGAGCUCCUGCUGCAUGGUGGGGGUUGGAAAGUUUCGGCGGUUGGGGAUGGUCGCGCGGCUUAUCAGCUUGUUGGUGGGGUAGUGGCUUACCAAGGCUUUGACGGGUAGCCGGCCUGAGAGGGUGACCGGCCACAUUGGGACUGAGAUACGGCCCAGACGCCUACGGGAGGCAGCAGGGGGGAAUAUUGCACAAUGGGCGGAAGCCUGAUGCAGCAACGCCGCGUGCGGGAUGACGGCCUUCGGGUUGUAAACCGCUUUCGCCUGUGACGAAGCGUGAGUGACGGUAAUGGGUAAAGAAGCACCGGCUAACUACGUG